This is a long non-coding RNA of Ictalurus punctatus (channel catfish), 1149 nucleotides long. The record is from Ensembl. Lineage: Eukaryota; Metazoa; Chordata; Actinopteri; Siluriformes; Ictaluridae.
CGUUUGUCGUGCACUUUUGAUUUUUCAAACUUUGCAGACUUUUUACAAUCACAAACAGCUCUAACACACACUACAGUACAUGAAAGGUAAUGUUUGAAAACCCAUAAUAUGUGCACUUUAAAAUAACAUUUCAGUCAAAAACACAAUGUUGCAUUGAUCCUAACGUCCCACAAACCUCAAAACGUUUGCUCUUUUUAAUUCACAUCACUUGCAGCUUAAAUAAACUUAGAUAUUCUGUAUUAUUAAAGCAUGCAACAUAUAAAUAAUUAAAACUCCAGUCAGCAAUAACAAAAUAAGAAAACUUUUGUAUUAAUUCAAGGUUCUGUAUUUUAUUAAAUCAUCUUUAAUAUUAACAAAAUAAAAAGUUUCAAAAUAUAACAACCCUCAAAAGUGUUUCAUUUCUUACAUACAGUAGAUCUAUAGUGUGUGUCGUCUGCUCUGCUCCUACAAGUGACACCUUUUAGAAAUUGCACAUUAAACCCACAUACAAUAAAAGAGACAUUCAAGUCCUCACAAAUAAUUCAAACUGUAAUCCUAUUUUCAUAUUCUUAUCCAAAAAUCAUCUAUUGUACAGGCAACAGUGUGUACAUUUGUAUAUAUCUCUUUUCUAUCCAUGUAAUAGUGUGUUACGAUUUUACCGAUUAAGACAAAAUGGUUUAUCCAUAAUAUUCGUGGCAGAAUCUUAAAUUAUUAUAAAUUAUAAAUUACUUGUCAGCUGGGUUUUUUCUCCGGGCUUUGCCUAAAUGGGUUCAAUUAAAUGUUGAAAAAAAAAAUCUACUCAACUGUCUAGACAGAUACAAAUCAACACUGUCAAUCAAGUCCCUGGUGCAUAAUACAUAUAAUGCACCUUGCCACUUGUAGGGAAUAGGAAAUUGAGUAAGGAGUAGUGUGUAGGGAAGAGUAUGUAAAGAAUAGUAGUAGGGAAUGGAGUAACGAGUAGGGAAGAGUAAAUAAGGAAUAUUAAGUUAGGUAUAGUAGUAAGGAAUGGUGAGUAGGGAUUAGUGAGUAAGGAAUAGGGAGUAGGGCAGAGUAAGUAAGGAACAGGAGUGGGGAAUAGUAAGUAAGGAGUAGGGAAUAUUGGUGUGGGAAUAGGGAAUAUUGAGUGGGGAAUAGUGAGUAAGAAGUAGGGCGUGGGAAUAGUGAGUAAGG